GGCUCAGAACGAACGCUGGCGGCAGGCUUAACACAUGCAAGUCGAGCGCCCCGCAAGGGGAGCGGCAGACGGGUGAGUAACGCGUGGGAAUCUACCCUUGACUACGGAAUAACGCAGGGAAACUUGUGCUAAUACCGUAUGUGUCCUUCGGGAGAAAGAUUUAUCGGUCAAGGAUGAGCCCGCGUUGGAUUAGCUAGUUGGUGGGGUAAAGGCCUACCAAGGCGACGAUCCAUAGCUGGUCUGAGAGGAUGAUCAGCCACAUUGGGACUGAGACACGGCCCAAACUCCUACGGGAGGCAGCAGUGGGGAAUAUUGGACAAUGGGCGCAAGCCUGAUCCAGCCAUGCCGCGUGAGUGAUGAAGGCCCUAGGGUUGUAAAGCUCUUUCACCGGAGAAGAUAAUG
This 402-nucleotide ribosomal RNA is filed under the name Rhizobium leguminosarum. RNAcentral's name for it is "bacterial SSU rRNA". It matches the Rfam family "Bacterial small subunit ribosomal RNA", at positions 21 to 453 of the family's 1533-position model. Lineage: Bacteria; Pseudomonadati; Pseudomonadota; Alphaproteobacteria; Hyphomicrobiales; Rhizobiaceae. The record is from RNAcentral.